RNAcentral lists this ribosomal RNA (426 nucleotides) under uncultured bacterium. Its description in RNAcentral is "SSU rRNA". It matches the Rfam family "Bacterial small subunit ribosomal RNA", at positions 369 to 808 of the family's 1533-position model. The record is from RNAcentral.
CAAUGGGGGAACCCUGAAUGCAGCAACGCCGCGUGAAGGAAGAAGUAUUUCGGUAUGUAAACUUCUAUCGACAGGGGAAGAAACAAAUGACGGUACCUGAAUAAGAAGCACCGGCUAACUACGUGCCAGCAGCCGCGGUAAAACGUAGGGUGCAAGCGUUGUCCGGAAUUACUGGGUGUAAAGGGAGCGCAGGCGGGAAGACAAGUUGGAAGUGAAAACCAUGGGCUCAACCCAUGAAUUGCUUUCAAAACUGUUUUUCUUGAGUAGUGCAGAGGUAGAUGGAAUUCCCGGUGUAGCGGUGGAAUGCGUAGAUAUCGGGAGGAACACCAGUGGCGAAGGCGGUCUACUGGGCACCAACUGACGCUGAGGCUCGAAAGCAUGGGUAGCAAACAGGAUUAGAUACCCUGGUAGUCCAAGGGCGAAUUC